UCUAGGGUAGCUCAGAUGGUAGAGCGUCGGGACUCGAACCCGAAGGUCCUUGGUUCAACUCCAAGCCCUAGUCUAA
Uloborus diversus is the source of this 76-nucleotide non-coding RNA. NCBI's taxonomy places the organism in Eukaryota, Metazoa, Arthropoda, Arachnida, Araneae, Uloboridae. The record is from the annotation of a RefSeq genome assembly.